UAACACAUGCAAGUCGAACGAUGAUGCCCAGCUUGCUGGGCGGAUUAGGGCGAACGGGUGAGUAAUACGUGAGUAACCUGCCCUUGACUCUGGGAUAAGCCUGGGAAACUGGGUCUAAUACUGGAUACUACCUCCUACCGCAUGGUGGGUGGUGGAAAGGGUUUUACUGGUUUUGGAUGGGCACACGGCCUAUCAAGCUUGUUGGUGGGGUAAUGGCUCACCAAGGCGACGACGGGUAGCCGGCCUGAGAGGGUGACCGGCCACACUGGGACUGAGACACGGCCCAGACUCCUACGGGAGGCAGCAGUGGGGAAUAUUGCACAAUGGGCGGAAGCCUGAUGCAGCGACAGCCGCGUGA
Molecule: ribosomal RNA, 358 nt
Filed under: Kocuria himachalensis
Lineage: Bacteria; Bacillati; Actinomycetota; Actinomycetes; Micrococcales; Micrococcaceae
Description: bacterial SSU rRNA
Rfam family: Bacterial small subunit ribosomal RNA
Source: RNAcentral